RNAcentral lists this transfer RNA (75 nucleotides) under compost metagenome. RNAcentral's name for it is "tRNA-Val". It matches the Rfam family "tRNA". Rfam says of the family: Transfer RNA (tRNA) molecules are approximately 80 nucleotides in length. Their secondary structure includes four short double-helical elements and three loops (D, anti-codon, and T loops). Further hydrogen bonds mediate the characteristic L-shaped molecular structure. tRNAs have two regions of fundamental functional importance: the anti-codon, which is responsible for specific mRNA codon recognition, and the 3' end, to which the tRNAs corresponding amino acid is attached (by aminoacyl-tRNA synthetases). tRNAs cope with the degeneracy of the genetic code in two manners: having more than one tRNA (with a specific anti-codon) for a particular amino acid; and 'wobble' base-pairing, i.e. permitting non-standard base-pairing at the 3rd anti-codon position. The record is from RNAcentral.
GCGCGGCUAGCUCAGCGGUAGAGCGCCUGGUUGACAUCCAGGAGGCCAGUGGUUCGACACCACUGCUGCGCACCA